Photinus pyralis (common eastern firefly) is the source of this 1200-nucleotide long non-coding RNA. RefSeq lists it as uncharacterized. The transcript is spliced from 2 exons. The record is from RefSeq and is a predicted model, not a curated record. Lineage: Eukaryota; Metazoa; Arthropoda; Insecta; Coleoptera; Lampyridae.
AACAUGAGAACUCUAUCUGGAUCGUACAAUGGAUUCAAAUAAACACAAUUAAUUGAUGGACAAAGACAAAAGAAUGUAGUUCGAAACUCGUAGGUACGCCAAAGCUACUGAAGACAAAUCUGGAAUAAAUAGGGACACAAGCCCGUUAAAUUUACCCCACGCGCAAAUGGUCGACAUAAAUAAAAUUGCUUACAGUUUUUCAAAUUAUCACUUAAUCCUGUUGUAACAACGGUCGUGCGAUAUUCCGACGCACUUAGCACCGAGAAAAAAUACUCGCUGAAAGCUUCAAGAAAGUUCACCACUUUUCUAUUUCAUUUUAACAAUGGCAAUUUUCAAUGCGAUGGCUGUUCAAACGGGUCUUUUAUUACACAAAAGUAUCCUCCAACAAGGUCUCGUUAUGCACUACAAACUAACUUCUUCCGUAAACGGACAAACUACAUUAACUUCUCAAAACACUUUAACCUAAACCCUGUGACGUUAUUAAUUAAGAUUUGGUGUGCGUAUUGUGGAACAGCCUGUAUGUACAUAAAGAAAACUUCGCUAAACUAAAUUGCUUAUCGCCAAGUGCAGGCGGGCAUUGUAAAACAUACACAUUUUUGAUUAUUUUUAUUUGAACGUGAGGUCUACUCAAGCACGUCGUAUUUAAAGUGUAAUUGCGUUCACCAAGCAAUUAAGUAAGCAGUAAUUUAGUCGCAAUUACCUAUAUUAGACGGAUAGCUGUAUUAUUGACAUUCCUCACAAACUGGAAAGGAUUGGGCUCGGAUUUGUGGGGACGGAGUCUCAUAGAGACUCCGGUUUACGGGAUACCUCAUUAUUACGGUUGGAAAUUGGGUAACCGUUUAAAUCAGCCACUCCAUCGGCUUACGAACGCUGCCAUCAACGUGACUGAGUACUGGGAUUAUUCGCUAGCUCCUGGCCGUCUUGCCUGUACCUGCUGCACCACCUGCAACCCCAACAUAGGAUCUAGUUCAUCUGUAAUCACAAUAGAUACUCACCGGAAGCGGAACCAUCUCAUCUCUACCAUACCUACCAUCUGACCAUAAGGGUGAGCGUUGCUGAGUGGUUGCGUGGAUGCGAGGGUGUUUGUAUUGUAUGUUAGUCUGUAAGCUAUCACAGGAUUUGUUAUAUUAUAUUGUAGUCGUCCAUCGCAUGUUUUGUAAUUAAAUAUAUAUAUGCUAACGUAUCCGAGUGUCUUCCGAA